RNAcentral lists this ribosomal RNA (279 nucleotides) under uncultured bacterium. RNAcentral describes it as "partial 16S ribosomal RNA". It matches the Rfam family "Bacterial small subunit ribosomal RNA", at positions 506 to 784 of the family's 1533-position model. The record is from RNAcentral.
UGCCAGCAGCCGCGGUAAUACGAAGGUGGCAAGCGUUGUUCGGAUUCAUUGGGCGUAAAGAGUUCGUAGGCGGUUUGGAAAGUCGGAUGUGAAAUCCUGCAGCUCAACUGCAGAACUGCAUUCGAAACUUCUAGACUGGAGUGCGAGAGGGGUAAAGGGAAUUCCCUGUGUAGAGGUGAAAUUCGCAGAUAUAGGGAAGAACACCAGUAGCGAAGGCGCUUUACUGGCUCGCAACUGACGCUGAGGGACGAAAGCUAGGGUAGCAAACGGGAUUAGAUA